AACGCGAAGAACCUUACCUACUCUUGACAUCCAGAGAACUUAGCAGAGAUGCUUUGGUGCCUUCGGGAACUCUGAGACAGGUGCUGCAUGGCUGUCGUCAGCUCGUGUUGUGAAAUGUUGGGUUAAGUCCCGCAACGAGCGCAACCCUUAUCCUUUGUUGCCAGCGGUCCGGCCGGGAACUCAAAGGAGACUGCCAGUGAUAAACUGGAGGAAGGUGGGGAUGACGUCAAGUCAUCAUGGCCCUUACGAGUAGGGCUACACACGUGCUACAAUGGCACAUACAAAGAGAAGCGACCUCGCGAGAGCAAGCGGACCUCAUAAAGUAUGUCGUAGUCCGGAUUGGAGUCUGCAACUCGACUCCAUGAAGUCGGAAUCGCU
Molecule: ribosomal RNA, 378 nt
Filed under: uncultured Enterobacter sp.
Lineage: Bacteria; Pseudomonadati; Pseudomonadota; Gammaproteobacteria; Enterobacterales; Enterobacteriaceae
Description: SSU rRNA
Rfam family: Bacterial small subunit ribosomal RNA
Source: RNAcentral